Long non-coding RNA from Oncorhynchus keta (chum salmon), 955 nucleotides. RefSeq lists it as uncharacterized. The transcript is spliced from 3 exons. The record is from RefSeq and is a predicted model, not a curated record. NCBI's taxonomy places the organism in Eukaryota, Metazoa, Chordata, Actinopteri, Salmoniformes, Salmonidae.
UUAAGGUGGCUGAGUGGCCUGUUUUAAGGUGAAGGAGUGGCCUGUUUUAAGGUGAAGGAGUGGCCUGUUUUAAGGUGAAGGAGUGGCCUGUUUUAAGAUGGCUGAGUGGCCUGUUUUAAGGUGGCUGAGUGGCCUGUUUUAAGGUGGCUGAGUGGCCUGUUUUAAGGUGAAGGAGUGGCCUGUUUUAAGGUGGCUGAGUGGCCUGUUUUAAGAUGGCUGAGUGGCCUGUUUUAAGGUGGCUGAGUGGCCUGUUUUAAGGUGAAGGAGUGGCCUGUUUUAAGGUGAAGGAGUGGCCUGUUUUAAGGUGGCUGAGUGGCCUGUUUUAAGAUGGCUGAGUGGCCUGUUUUAAGGUGGCUGAGUGGCCUGUUUUAAGGUGAAGGAGUGGCCUGUUUUAAGGUGAAGGAGUGGCCUGUUUUAAGGUGGCUGAGUGGCCUGUUUUAAGAUGGCUGAGUGGCCUGUUUUAAGAUGGCUGAGUGGCCUGUUUUAAGAUGGCUGAGUGGCCUGUUUUAAGGUGAAGGAGUGGCCUGUUUUAAGAUGGCUGAGUGGCCUGUUUUAAGAUGGCUGAGUGGCCUGUUUUAAGGUGGCUGAGUGGCCUGUUUUAAGAUGGCUGAGUGGCCUGUUUUAAGAUGGCUGAGAGGCCUGUUUUAAGGUGAAGGAGUGGCCUGUUUUAAGAUGGCUGAGUGGCCUGUUUUAAGAUGGCUGAGUGGCCUGUUUUAAGGUGGCUGAGUGGCCUGUUUUAAGAUGGCUGAGUGGCCUGUUUUAAGAUGGCUGAGUGGCCUGUUUUAAGGUGAAGGAGUGGCCUGUUUUAAGAUGGCUGAGUGGCCUGUUUUAAGAUGGCUGAGUGGCCUGUUUUAAGGUGGCUGAGUGGCCUGUUUUAAGAUGGCUGAGUGGCCUGUUUUAAGAUGGCUGAGAGGCCUGUUUUAAGGUGAAGGAGUGGCCUGUUUUAAGAUGGCUG